This 468-nucleotide ribosomal RNA is filed under the name uncultured bacterium. Its description in RNAcentral is "partial 16S ribosomal RNA". It matches the Rfam family "Bacterial small subunit ribosomal RNA", at positions 28 to 507 of the family's 1533-position model. The record is from RNAcentral.
GACGAACGCUGGCGGCGUGCUUAACACAUGCAAGUCGAACGGAAAGGCCCUGCUUUUGUGGGGUGCUCGAGUGGCGAACGGGUGAGUAACACGUGAGUAACCUGCCCUUGACUUUGGGAUAACUUCAGGAAACUGGGGCUAAUACCGGAUAGGAGCUCCUGCUGCAUGUUGGGGGUUGGAAAGUUUCGGCGGUUGGGGAUGGACUCGCGGCUUAUCAGCUGGUUGGUGGGGUAGUGGCUUACCAAGGCUUUGACGGGUAGCCGGCCUGAGAGGGUGACCGGCCACAUUGGGACUGAGAUACGGCCCAGACUCCUACGGGAGGCAGCAGUGGGGAAUAUUGCACAAUGGGCGGAAGCCUGAUGCAGCAACGCCGCGUGCGGGAUGACGGCCUUCGGGUUGUAAACCGAUUUCGCAUGUGACGAAGCGUGAGUGACGGUAAUGGGUAAAGAAGCACCGGCUAACUACGUG